GCCUCUUUAGCUCAGUCGGUUAGAGCACCUGACUGUUAAUCAGGGUGUCGCCUGUUCGAGUCAGGCAAGAGGCG
Faecalibacterium prausnitzii is the source of this 74-nucleotide transfer RNA. It matches the Rfam family "tRNA". Rfam says of the family: Transfer RNA (tRNA) molecules are approximately 80 nucleotides in length. Lineage: Bacteria; Bacillati; Bacillota; Clostridia; Eubacteriales; Oscillospiraceae. The record is from Rfam.